RNAcentral lists this ribosomal RNA (673 nucleotides) under Acinetobacter sp. 5(2010). RNAcentral's name for it is "bacterial SSU rRNA". It matches the Rfam family "Bacterial small subunit ribosomal RNA", at positions 104 to 772 of the family's 1533-position model. The record is from RNAcentral. Lineage: Bacteria; Pseudomonadati; Pseudomonadota; Gammaproteobacteria; Moraxellales; Moraxellaceae.
GGGUGAGUAAUGCUUAGGAAUCUGCCUAUUAGUGGGGGACAACAUUCCGAAAGGAAUGCUAAUACCGCAUACGCCCUACGGGAGAAAGCAGGGGAUCUUCGGACCUUGCGCUAAUAGAUGAGCCUAAGUCAGAUUAGCUAGUUGGUGGGGUAAAGGCCUACCAAGGCGACGAUCUGUAGCGGGUCUGAGAGGAUGAUCCGCCACACUGGGACUGAGACACGGCCCAGACUCCUACGGGAGGCAGCAGUGGGGAAUAUUGGACAAUGGGCGAAAGCCUGAUCCAGCCAUGCCGCGUGUGUGAAGAAGGCCUUUUGGUUGUAAAGCACUUUAAGCGAGGAGGAGGCUACUUAGAUUAAUACUCUAGGAUAGUGGACGUUACUCGCAGAAUAAGCACCGGCUAACUCUGUGCCAGCAGCCGCGGUAAUACAGAGGGUGCGAGCGUUAAUCGGAUUUACUGAACGUAAAGCGUGCGUAGGCGGCUUGUUAAGUCGGAUGUGAAAUCCCUGAGCUUAACUUAGGAAUUGCAUUCGAUACUGGCAAGCUAGAGUAUGGGAGAGGAUGGCAGAAUUCCAGGUGUAGCGGUGAAAUGCGUAGAGAUCUGGAGAAAUACCGAUGGCGAAGGCAGCCAUCUGGCCUAAUACUGACGCUGAGGUACGAAAGCAUGGGGAGCAAA